UACAGAGGUCUCAAGCGUUGUUCGGAUUCAUUGGGCGUAAAGGGUGCGUAGGUGGCGCGCUAAGUCAGGUGUGAAAUUUCGGAGCUUAACUCCGAAACUGCAUUUGAUACUGGUGUGCUUGAGGACUGGAGAGGAGACUGGAAUUCAUGGUGUAGCAGUGAAAUGCGUAGAGAUCAUGAGGAAGACCAGUGGCGAAGGCGAAUCUCUGGACAGUUACUGACACUGAGGCACGAAGGCCAGGGGAGCAAACGGG
RNAcentral lists this ribosomal RNA (253 nucleotides) under uncultured bacterium. RNAcentral describes it as "partial 16S ribosomal RNA". It matches the Rfam family "Bacterial small subunit ribosomal RNA", at positions 524 to 776 of the family's 1533-position model. The record is from RNAcentral.